RNAcentral lists this ribosomal RNA (440 nucleotides) under uncultured bacterium. Its description in RNAcentral is "partial 16S ribosomal RNA". It matches the Rfam family "Bacterial small subunit ribosomal RNA", at positions 338 to 795 of the family's 1533-position model. The record is from RNAcentral.
CCUACGGGAGGCAGCAGUAGGGAAUUUUGCGCAAUGGGGGAAACCCUGACGCAGCAACACCGCGUGAAUGUUAAGCCCUUCGGGGUGUAAAGUUCUGUCCAUAGAGAAGAAUUUUGACUGUACCUAUAAAGUAAGCACCGGCUAAAUCCGUGCCAGCAGCCGCGGUAAUACGGGGGGGGCAAGCGGUGUCCGGAAUGAUUGGGCGUAAAGCGUUCGUAGGUGGUAUGUGAAGUCUAAUGGUAAAGCCCGGGGGGCAAAGCCGGUUAGGCAUUGGAUACUGGCACACUAGAAUGGGGGAGAGGUAAAGGGAAUUCCUGGUGUAGCGGUGAAAUGCGUAGAUAUCAGGAGGAACAUCGGUGGCGAAAGCGCUUUACUGGACCAUUAUUGACGCUGAGGAACGAAAGCCAGGGGAGCAAAUGGGAUUAGAUACCCGGGUAGUC